RNAcentral lists this long non-coding RNA (1280 nucleotides) under Lynx canadensis (Canada lynx). RNAcentral describes it as "lncRNA (ENSLCNG00005000743.1)". The record is from RNAcentral. Lineage: Eukaryota; Metazoa; Chordata; Mammalia; Carnivora; Felidae.
GGCGGCACAGGGCGCGCCGGGCCACCGGAGCGCACCAAUUCCGAAUGCCCGGCGGGUCGGCGAUCAGCAAUCCUGGGAUGUCCACUUGGCUGAAUGACCAGUUCCUACGGACUUCCUGUGACGUGUGUUCUCCGAGGCCAUCCGGCGUCCCCGGGCCGCGAUCGUUUCUCGUAGGGCAUCGCUGGCUGACACCGGGCUCAAAAGCAGAUCACGUUUGGCAUCAUCUUAUUAAAGCUUUCUGGACCUUUCUCAGGACCCCAGAGUUCCGGGAAGAACCCAACAUUCCCUGGUGCCAGCCUGUGGCUGUGCCAGUCACAUCCGCCCUGCUGAGCCUCCUCUAGCUCCUAUGUACCAGCCCAACCUGGGCACCCCUAUCCUGACCACACCUUGUACUCUCCUCUCUCCAGCCCUUUGCUCCUGUUGUUUCUUCCACCUGGGCUGCUGUCCCUCCAGUUUUUGCUGGUCGAAACCUCAUCCAUCCUUAAGGCUCAGCCUGCGCACGCGUCCUGUGGCUAUCAGGUCCCUCCUUCUCUGGCUCCUCGUAGCCUGGCCACGGUAGCCGGCCCUGGUGUGCUCCGGAAGCUCACGCUCGUCCUCUGACUCACUUCUCCGUCUCCCCUCCCAGAGCUGGGGUGGCCACAGAACUUUCUGGGAAGAGCUUUGGAGUCAGACAAGACCGGCUUCCGCGGAGCUGCAGUCUCGGUGGUUGUGAAACGGGGGUAUUGAUGAUCAUUCGCCACCGUGAGGAAGCGUGGAGGGAGCUGCCACCCGGAGCCCGGGCACCCGUCCCGGCGCUGCCCUGUGCUUGGCCCUGGGGACACAGCAGUGGAGACAGCCCUGCCUGCCAGCAUGGAAGCGGCUUGAGCUAACAUUAGUACUAGCGGUCUGUUAUUAUAGCAGCUUUAUUGGUGUAUUUACAUUAAAGUACAAAAUCUUGGGGCGCCUGGGUGGCUCCGUCGGUUGAGCGUCCGCCUUCGGCUCAGGUCACGAUCUCUCAGUUCGUGAGUUCGAACCUUGUGUCGGGCUCUGUGCUGACAGCUCAGAGCCUAGAGCCUCUUUGGAUUCUGUGUCUCCCUCUCUCUCCGCCCCUCCCUGCUCGCUGUCUGUCUCUCUCUCUCAAAAAUCAAUACACAUUAAAAAAAAUUAAAGUACAGAAUCUUUGUGAGUGACCAGAUGAAUGUUCCCAUAUGUCCACACUGUGGCUCCGUGCGGAUCGAGUCAUAGCACCUUCCAGUCCCCCAGGAGCCUCCACCGAGGGCAGCUACUGUUUUGACCUUUAC